CGAAAGAUUGAUUCAGUUACUUAUUAAGAUGAUAUAUACUAAAUAUAUUAAUAAAUAUUAAUAUAUAUAUAUAUAUAAAUUGAUUAAAAAUAAAGUCUAUAAAUAAUUAAAAUAAUGAUAUUAAUUACAUUCUUUAAUUGAAUGAUAUAAUAUUAAAAUAAUAUUAUAUUUUAAUAGUCCUAACCAAGAUUUGUGCCAGCAGCUGCGGUAAUACAAUGAGGGCUAGCGUUAAUCAUAAUGGUUUAAAGUAUCCGUAGAAUAAUAAUAAUAAUAUUAUUAGAGUUAAUAAAUUUAAUUAAAGAAUUAUGAUAGUAAAGAUGAAAUAAUAAUGAUAAUCAUAAGACUGGUAUGUGUGAAAAUAUUAAUUAAAUAUUAACUGACAUUGAGGGAUGAAAGCUAGAGUAGCAAUAUGGAUUCGAUACCCAAGUAGUUCUAGCUGUAAACUAUGAGCACCAUAAUUUGUUAAAUAAACAAAUUAUAAACGAAAGUGUAAGUGUUCCACCUGAAGAGUACUUUCGCAAGAAUGAAACUCAAGACAAUAGACGGUUACAGACUUAAGCAGUGGAGCAU
RNAcentral lists this ribosomal RNA (570 nucleotides) under Zygosaccharomyces mellis. RNAcentral describes it as "partial small subunit ribosomal RNA". The stretch from base 126 to 570 matches the Rfam family "Microsporidia small subunit ribosomal RNA", at positions 1 to 818 of the family's 1311-position model. Lineage: Eukaryota; Fungi; Ascomycota; Saccharomycetes; Saccharomycetales; Saccharomycetaceae. The record is from RNAcentral.